GAUGAAGAACGCAGCGAAAUGCGAUACGUAAUGUGAAUUGCAGAAUUCAGUGAAUCAUCGAAUCUUUGAACGCAUAUUGCGCUCUCUGGUAUUCCGGAGAGCAUGCUUGUUUGAGUAUCAGUAAACACCUCAACUUCCAUAUCUUUUUUGAAAUGGGAGUUGGACUUGAGUGAUCCCAACGCUUUUCCUCACCGAAAAGUGGCGGGUUACUUGAAAUGCAGGUGCAGCUGGACUUUUCUCUGAGCUAUAAGCAUAUCUAUUUAGUCUGCCUAAAAAACAGAUUAUUACCUUUGCUGCAGCUAACAUAAAGGAGAUUAGUUCUUGUGCUGACUGAUGCAGGAUUCACAAAGACAGGCUUCGGCCGACUUUGUAAACUCGAUCUCAAAUCAAGUAAGACUACCCGCUGAACUUAAGCAUAUCAAUACGGAGGA
RNAcentral lists this unclassified non-coding RNA (431 nucleotides) under soil metagenome. Its description in RNAcentral is "partial contains 5.8S ribosomal RNA, internal transcribed spacer 2, and large subunit ribosomal RNA". The stretch from base 1 to 120 matches the Rfam family "5.8S ribosomal RNA", at positions 35 to 154 of the family's 154-position model. The record is from RNAcentral.